Molecule: ribosomal RNA, 127 nt
Organism: Loxodonta africana (African savanna elephant)
Lineage: Eukaryota; Metazoa; Chordata; Mammalia; Proboscidea; Elephantidae
Source: Ensembl
GUCUACAGCCAUAACACUCUGAACGUGCCCCAUCUCCUCUGAUCUUGGAAGCUUGGGAGCUAACUAGGGUCGGGCCUAAUUAGUACUUGGAUGGGAGACCACCUGGGAAUACUGGGUGCUGUAGGGG